This 519-nucleotide ribosomal RNA is filed under the name Lacticaseibacillus paracasei. Its description in RNAcentral is "bacterial SSU rRNA". It matches the Rfam family "Bacterial small subunit ribosomal RNA", at positions 73 to 579 of the family's 1533-position model. The record is from RNAcentral. Lineage: Bacteria; Bacillati; Bacillota; Bacilli; Lactobacillales; Lactobacillaceae.
CCGAGAUUCAACAUGGAACGAGUGGCGGACGGGUGAGUAACACGUGGGUAACCUGCCCUUAAGUGGGGGAUAACAUUUGGAAACAGAUGCUAAUACCGCAUAGAUCCAAGAACCGCAUGGUUCUUGGCUGAAAGAUGGCGUAAGCUAUCGCUUUUGGAUGGACCCGCGGCGUAUUAGCUAGUUGGUGAGGUAAUGGCUCACCAAGGCGAUGAUACGUAGCCGAACUGAGAGGUUGAUCGGCCACAUUGGGACUGAGACACGGCCCAAACUCCUACGGGAGGCAGCAGUAGGGAAUCUUCCACAAUGGACGCAAGUCUGAUGGAGCAACGCCGCGUGAGUGAAGAAGGCUUUCGGGUCGUAAAACUCUGUUGUUGGAGAAGAAUGGUCGGCAGAGUAACUGUUGCCGGCGUGACGGUAUCCAACCAGAAAGCCACGGCUAACUACGUGCCAGCAGCCGCGGUAAUACGUAGGUGGCAAGCGUUAUCCGGAUUUAUUGGGCGUAAAGCGAGCGCAGGCGGU